Molecule: ribosomal RNA, 406 nt
Filed under: uncultured bacterium
Lineage: Bacteria
Description: partial 16S ribosomal RNA
Rfam family: Bacterial small subunit ribosomal RNA
Source: RNAcentral
AUUGAACGCUGGCGGCAGGCCUAACACAUGCAAGUCGAGCGAGUGGCGGACGGGUGAGUAAUGUCUGGGAAACUAGCUUAUGGAGGGGGAUAACUACGGGAAACGGUAGCUAAUACCGCAUACCAUCGGAUGAGCCCAGAUGGGAUUAGGUAGUUGGUGGGGUAAAGGCUCACCAAGUCGACGAUCCCUAGCUGGUCUUAGAGGAUGACCAGCCACACUGGUACUGAUACACGGCCCAGACUCCUACGGGAGGCAGCAGUGGGGAAUAUGGCGCAAGGGGGGCAACCCUGAAGCAGCCAUGCCGCGUGAAUGAAGAAGGCCUUCGGGUUGUACAGUACUUUCGGUAGCGAGGCGUUACCUACAGAAGAAGCACCGGCUAACUCCGUGCCAGCCGCCGCGGUAAUAC